RNAcentral lists this ribosomal RNA (253 nucleotides) under uncultured bacterium. RNAcentral's name for it is "partial 16S ribosomal RNA". It matches the Rfam family "Bacterial small subunit ribosomal RNA", at positions 524 to 776 of the family's 1533-position model. The record is from RNAcentral.
GACAGAGGGUGCAAACGUUGUUCGGAAUUACUGGGCGUAAAGCGCGUGUAGGCGGUUUGGAUAGUCGGAUGUGAAAGCCCCGGGCUCAACCCGGGAAGUGCAUUCGAUACUCCCAAGCUAGAGUAUCGGAGAGGUUGGUGGAAUUCUCGGUGUAGAGGUGAAAUUCGUAGAUAUCGAGAGGAACACCGGUGGCGAAGGCGGCCAACUGGACGAAUACUGACGCUGAGACUCGAAAGCGUGGGGAGCAAACAGG